Molecule: long non-coding RNA, 2547 nt
Filed under: Homo sapiens (human)
Lineage: Eukaryota; Metazoa; Chordata; Mammalia; Primates; Hominidae
Description: HSALNT0035069
Source: RNAcentral
GAAGGAACAGCUCAGAAAAGGGCAGUGCCAGGGUGGAUGAAUGACCGACCAGCCAAAAGGCAGAUGGGGAAGGACCAACCUUUCUGAGUGAGAGAUUCUUUCCCCUCUAGCACUUCAGCUCAAACCCCUGGUCCUGCACCCUUAGCAUAGGGUGCAGCCUGCAGCCCAUCCAGAAAUCCUCGGAUGUCAAAGUAGAGGGAGUCAUACCAAGAAACAUGCAUAACAUGUGGUCAUAUAAUAAUGCUAAUCGGCACUGCAGCAGACCACUGCCACCACCAAGCACAUCAACCAUGUGUUGUGACUUUUCUUCCUCCUCUGCGAGCCCGAAGGCCACCUCAUUAGUGCUCCUGACACUGCGGAACUUUUCUUUCUCAAGGCUGUUGUCACUGGGGAUGGUUGAAAGUGACUAUUUUCCUAAGAAAACAGCUGGAGGGGACAUGGGAGCAAGAAGGUGCUUGGGAGCGCAUCUCAGUGUUGAGGCUCAAAACAGGCAGCGCCAUGGCAGAGUCAUUCCGCCGUCACCCUGAAUAAACCCCAUGCACACAGACGAGAACAAUGUCUCCUCAGAGGGAGGGUCUGGGAGACCGGACACCAUGCAGAGACCCCCAUCAGCUCAUCAGAGAGCUUCACGGAGAUGUUCUGGGAGGACAAUCACAUUCAUAAAUACGCCGGUGCCUCGGCUCUGCCGCUGACUGCAGCAUGACAUGAAGCCUUUUUUAAGAACUGGCUGCUGCCGCCAAAGCCUUCUGGGAUAUGUCUGCCUGGAACCUGGGCACCUCCUGGGAGCAGUCACUGGGUGGCCUGUCAGGGGCUGUGGGGUCCUGGGGCAGGGCCGGCAACUGGAAGCCAGCCCUGGGGAGGAAAGGAGAGAAGGGCAAGGCUGGGCUGCUUUCCUCACAGCCCCUGGACACUGAGGGAGGAGCUGAGUUGGGCCUGGGGCUGCCAUGUGUCAGACAGUGGUGAUGUGAUGGGGGGACACAGGUCAGUGGCAGGGUACUGGGAGUUUCCCCUUUCCUUUCUCAGUUCUUUGCACCCAUUUUCCAUGGGCUGCCUCCCCAGAUCCAGAAGCCCCAGCAGCCCCUCACCCCAGCAGUGGAAAAAGCCCGUCAUUGACACGGCUGUGGGUGGCCGGCUUUGCAAAAGCCUCACAUUUGGGGCUUUGGAGGGCUUUUUGCAUUUCAUCUUUACACAGGCUCCUGCACCUCAUUCCUCUUGCCCUCCUCUCAGCUUUCCUCCCACUUCCAGUUAGAGAGAUGGCAGCUCUGGCAGGACCAAAUAUUGAUGUUUAUCACAGUUUUAGGGCCAUUUGUCUCACCAUCUGAAGGGCUCAGCGCAGGCCCACGGGAUCCUCUCUCCUUGAGUGACCUCUGGGGGCAGGUAUCUGGUUUGGAUGCUGGAGCUGGUCCCUACUCUUCCCUUGGGGGCCGUGCGGCCGGGUGCUCAAGUGUUUUAACCUCAGGACCCUGAUUAGUUAUCAUGAAGCUACCCCACCAGCUCCUGGGUCUGUUCAUGGAUUAGUGGCAUAAAGGACGUAAUAUUGUUUUGCAAAAUCUGCUCUCCCUCCCAUGUCUCCUGCCCAAGAAGUUGGUCUUCGUGGGGCCAAAGGCAAGGAGGACCCGAGGAAGGAAGAGGAACCACUGUCCCCAGCCCCUGGUAUGGCAUGGCGUCAGCCUAGUGACCAGAAAUUGCUUUUGAACUCUGAGGCUUCCAGAGGACAAGAGGAAGAGGAGGACAGGGCUGCCCUGCCCACUGCUCAGCCUUGAGCCCUGCACCUGGCACAGUGCGAGGCCUCAGACAGGGUGUCAGCAGGCCCUGGCUCCCCACAUCCCAUCCUUAAACAGGCCAUGCCCUUUCUACCUGCCCCAGCAGACCAGAAAGCAGUUUCCAUGGGAAACAACAAACCUUCCUUGUGCUCCCAGGAUAAGUGUUUCUAGAGGGUGAAGUCGGGAGCCAUUCUCUCCUUUAACAUCUUGCCACCUCUGCCCAGAAUUCACAGCCACCGGCGCCUGUCUUAGCUGCCCUGGCUGUCAGCCCCACCAGAGCCCCUCCUGGCUGCUCUGCUGAAAGCUGGUCAGACUGCCUCACUCCAUCCCCUACUUAGCUCCCCUAAGGCCUAGGGGGCUCCCUACAGGCCAAGGGAUGAGGCCAGACUCAAUAGAACACCUGAUAGGCCCCCCAAGUGACCUGGCCCUGGCCGGUCACUCCCUAUGUCCCAAUUUACACCCCAGCAGCACAGAACUCCUUGCUCAAAGGGGCUAUUUUUGGCCUCUGUGCUCAUGCCAUCCCUUCUGCCUGGAAUGCCCUUCUCCACUGUCUGCCUGGCUAACUCCUGCUCAUUCUGGAAGGCUCAGCUCCUCCUGAAAGCCCUCCCUGACCCCAACCCCAGCUCCUUCCUCAGGGUGUCGUAGCACAGGGAUGCUUUUGGUCUAAUUCAGGAGAGCAUCAUGUGAUAUGCUUUUAAAGUAAUGAGUUAAAAUGUUAGACAAUAUGAAACUCUAUUAUGUGAUAUAUUAGAUUUCAUGUCAUUACAUUGUAUUAUAUUAUAUU